UGACUUAUGGUUUUUAGGAUGUUAUA
Molecule: non-coding RNA, 26 nt
Filed under: Rattus norvegicus (Norway rat)
Lineage: Eukaryota; Metazoa; Chordata; Mammalia; Rodentia; Muridae
Source: RNAcentral